UCCAACAUCGUUGAAGCUCUCUGGUGACA
Molecule: non-coding RNA, 29 nt
Filed under: Rattus norvegicus (Norway rat)
Lineage: Eukaryota; Metazoa; Chordata; Mammalia; Rodentia; Muridae
Source: RNAcentral